Molecule: non-coding RNA, 538 nt
Organism: Boleophthalmus pectinirostris (great blue-spotted mudskipper)
Lineage: Eukaryota; Metazoa; Chordata; Actinopteri; Gobiiformes; Gobiidae
Source: the annotation of a RefSeq genome assembly
UCCAACCAUGAGGAGUGUGUGUGUGCUGCUGCUGCUGGCUGUUGGACACAGUGUGAAGUGUGAGACACUGACACAGCCAGCCUCUGUGACUGUGCAGCCAGGACACACUCUCACUAUCCCCUGUACUGUCUCAUAUGAUGUUAGCAGUUAUGUUACACACUGGGUGAGACAGCCUGCUGGGAAAGGCCUGGAGUGGAUUGGAGAACACUGUGGAUCUGGAUGCACCAUGUUCAUCAAAGAUUCACUGAAGAACAAGUUCAGUAUAAAUGUAGAUUCCUCCAGUAACAGAGUGACUCUGAAUGGACAGAACAUGCAGCCUGGAGACACUGCAGUGUACUACUGUGCCAGGCAGCCACAGUCACUCAAAUCUGACCAUGAUGAACACACUGGUCCUCCUGAUGGGGGCGCUCUCCCUGCCCUGUGUGAGUUUGCCAGAUCCUCCAGUCCAUUCCCUCUUCUCCAGUGCUCAAAACUCCUCAGGAGUCUGUCAGUUUUUCCUGCAGUGGAUCUGGGUUUAACUUUGGUGGCUACGGGAUGA